This 369-nucleotide long non-coding RNA is filed under the name Physcomitrium patens. RNAcentral's name for it is "long non-coding RNA (PPAT_LNC013175)". Lineage: Eukaryota; Viridiplantae; Streptophyta; Bryopsida; Funariales; Funariaceae. The record is from RNAcentral.
AUCAGACUUGUGAGAAGUCUUAUAAGUAAAGUUGAGAGUGAUUGAAGAGUGUAAAUAAUAUUUUACUCAUUAAGAGGGCAUUCUGAUUUUCUAAGGCAACAACAUCUUCUUGUUGAUUUUGAGAGUUCAUUCUUCUCUUUUCUUGAUUUUCUUUGAUUCACCCCUUCCUUAGACAUGGUUGCAAGUGAGGGUGAGGGUUUGAGAGUAAUUGAGAAGUUUAAGGGUGGCAACUUCUACCAUUGGAAGAAGAAAAUGGAGCACUUAUUGGCUUCAUUAGACCUUUGGGAUAUUGUUGAUGAAAGUAAAGACCCUCUAAGUGACGAUGGUGAUGUGAAGGUGAAGAAGGAGUACAAAAAAUAUGAAAGGAAG